GGCUCUGAUUGCUACUGCACCACAUGUGUUUUUCUUUGAAACAAACUUGCUUUGGCGGUGGGCCCAGCCUGCCGCCAGAGGUCUAAACUUACAACCAAUUUUUUAUCAACUUGUCACACCAGAUUAUUACUAAUAGUCAAAACUUUCAACAACGGAUCUCUUGGUUCUCGCAUCGAUGAAGAACGCAGCGAAAUGCGAUACGUAAUAUGAAUUGCAGAUAUUCGUGAAUCAUCGAAUCUUUGAACGCACAUUGCGCCCUCUGGUAUUCCGGAGGGCAUGCCUGUUUGAGCGUCGUUUCUCCCUCAAACCGCUGGGUUUGGUGUUGAGCAAUACGACUUGGGUUUGCUUGAAAGACGGUAGUGGUAAGGCGGGAUCGCUUUGACAAUGGCUUAGGUCUAACCAAAAACAUUGCUUGCGGCGGUAACGUCUACCACGUAUAUCUUCAAACUUUGACCUCAAAUCAGGUAGGACUACCCGCUGAACUUAAGCAUAUCAAUAAGCGGGAGGAA
Molecule: ribosomal RNA, 509 nt
Filed under: Candida albicans
Lineage: Eukaryota; Fungi; Ascomycota; Pichiomycetes; Serinales; Debaryomycetaceae
Description: eukaryotic LSU rRNA
Rfam family: 5.8S ribosomal RNA (bases 141-294)
Source: RNAcentral